Hemicordylus capensis (graceful crag lizard) is the source of this 1636-nucleotide long non-coding RNA. RefSeq lists it as uncharacterized. NCBI's taxonomy places the organism in Eukaryota, Metazoa, Chordata, Lepidosauria, Squamata, Cordylidae. The record is from RefSeq and is a predicted model, not a curated record. The transcript is spliced from 3 exons.
AAAGAUGAAGUGUACCACUUUCAGGUGGCAGGUUGUGAGUGCUUCUUAAGGGUUUCCUCAUGGAUGGCCUGCGAGGAAUGGAAAGUAAAAUGCCACCAUGUUGCUUUUCUUCAUCCCCUUCCUUCCUUUUCCAUUAGGAAGGAGCAGAGAUUUAAAAGGAGGAGGAAACUAGAAGUGUGGAUUUAAUGGAGAGAAAACUAGAAAGUGGAUGGAAGGGAGCAAAAUGUCAUAAGUGGCCUUACCUGGGACCAGAGAUGUGAAUGCCUGAAAACACCCCAGAAAAGAAUGAGGAAAAAUGGGAAGAAAAGAACCUCCAGGUUCAAGAAAGAACAUCUCCCCUUGUGAAGGCCUCAGCUAUUGAAAAUGUGGAAUCCAGGAAACUUCAUUUCUGUGAAACUAGACUAGAAAUGUCUUCAAGAGAAUUCUCAAAACACUCAAAUAUUACAGUUGCCAAGGAUCUUUGGGUGAAACAAACUGGUGUAAGACCAGUAUAAUGUCCAUUGUGUAGGGGAAGAAUGGCAGUUCAGUCUCCAAAUAGCAAAGCAAAACCAGUUUGGUGAGAAAGCAUCAAAGCAAGAGGCCUUCACACAGUUCUUUAGUAUUGAAGAACUUCAAGGAUUUAUUUAAAGAAAAGGUUACAAACAAAUGUGAAAAAGCCUGUAGCUUAAUUUCAGCUGUAUCUCAUGGCUGAAGAGAAAGACCAAAACAAACAGCCAUCUUUGGAGAGACAAAAUGGAGACUAACACUGGAAGAACAAAUUGGGGAGGAGUCCAGCACUUUUAUCCAUGACCCUAACCCCCCGCCACUGCAGUGGUAACUAUGAGACAUUACAGCUGAGAGCUGAUGCUGACAGGGUCCUAGCUCUAUACAUUGGUAUCUUCUUUAUUGAGCAUUCCAGUCAGGACUAGCCUUAGGCCUGGGUGAGGUGGGCAGUUGCCCUUGGCACAUAUCUGAAAGAGGCACUGAGCUGAGCUUGUGACCUAUUAAACACUGAUAAACUAAGUUUAAUGGGGGUGCGCUGAAAGCUCUGCCUCUCCAGGACAUUUUUUAUCCUAGGGCCAGCCCUGAUUUCAGUAAUCAAAAGUGAUAAACACUAAUUUUGCUGGCUUGCUUGCAUUUCAACAAGGUAACUGUUGAAUCAUUCAUGAUGAAGAAAAACAAAAUGUCGCAUGAACAACUAUUAUACUGCAUAUGUAUUUUUAAUAUGUAAUUCUCAGCAUAGCCUUGGAUUACAUGCAGGUUAAAUUUCCCUUGCUGAUUUAUAAAUAUAAUCUAAACUCAACACAAAGUUAAUGAUAUAGCAAUGUCGAAUUGUUCUGUAGCAAGCUAAAGACCUCACAGUACCUCAACGCUCUAAGUUCAUUUUGAUGUGAUCAUCUAGGCACUAUGCAGAGAUUAUAGUUUUAUUGUCUUUUCCCCCCUAUGAAUACAUAAAUGAAUAAUAAGUUAAACAAAUAAGAAUUUCCUACUGGGUAUGUCAAACAAAUCAUUAUGUAUGGUGUUUUGAAUUUCAGUCAAUCAUUCUCAACACUAUUCAUCCCACUAUGGUGUCUGUUUUAACUAAGUCAGCAUUCGGAACUGUUAAAAAUGGACUUGAGCAGAAUGGCUAAGACCAGAAAAUACAAAAAUCCUUCAU